GACGAACGCUGGCGGCGUGCUUAACACAUGCAAGUCGAACGAUGAUGCCCAGCUUGCUGGGUGGAUUAGUGGCGAACGGGUGAGUAACACGUGAGUAACCUGCCCCUGACUCUGGGAUAAGCGUUGGAAACGACGUCUAAUACUGGAUAUGACUGCCGGCCGCAUGGUCUGGGGGUGGAAAGAUUUUUUGGUUGGGGAUGGACUCGCGGCCUAUCAGCUUGUUGGUGAGGUAAUGGCUCACCAAGGCGACGACGGGUAGCCGGCCUGAGAGGGUGACCGGCCACACUGGGACUGAGACACGGCCCAGACUCCUACGGGAGGCAGCAGUGGGGAAUAUUGCACAAUGGGCGAAGGCCUGAUGCAGCAACGCCGCGUGAGGGAUGACGGCCUUCGGGUUGUAAACCUCUUUUAGUAGGGAAGAAGCGAAAGUGACGGUACCUGCAGAAAAAGCACCGGCUAACUACGUGCCAGCAGCCGCCGUAA
RNAcentral lists this ribosomal RNA (483 nucleotides) under uncultured bacterium. Its description in RNAcentral is "partial 16S ribosomal RNA". It matches the Rfam family "Bacterial small subunit ribosomal RNA", at positions 28 to 523 of the family's 1533-position model. The record is from RNAcentral.